RNAcentral lists this long non-coding RNA (1734 nucleotides) under Strigops habroptila (Kakapo). RNAcentral's name for it is "lncRNA (ENSSHBG00005018768.1)". Lineage: Eukaryota; Metazoa; Chordata; Aves; Psittaciformes; Psittacidae. The record is from RNAcentral.
UUUUUUUCAUAACAUUAACAUAUUUAACUCCUACAAGCAAUUACUUCAAUGGCCAAAGAAUACAGGAAAGUAGAGAGAGCACUUGCAAAAGUGAAUCUCAUUUUGUUUUGCAAAUCAUUAUUAAAAAGUCACUCUUGAAAAAUGAAAGAGCGAGCAGGGAAGAGGUCAGGUGUAAUGUAACCGAUCUGCUCAGGAGGAAAAUUCCCAUGUUGAGUGCAGUGUUAAAUCAAUGAAGCUUAGCAAAUUUUAGAGAGGAACAUUUAUAGUUACUCCUUCAUAAAGUAAUUGAAACAUGUUUCUGUAGCACCCUCUUCCCUUGCCUUCACUUUCUCUUUGUUCCUCUCAGAGAGGGCUAUGGAAGAUGACUUGGUAUAAACAGGGGAUUACUUUCCUCCCUCAUUGCUCACUCCCCAUUUGCUCUGUUUUGACAGUACAGACCAUUACUAAAGCAGUAACACAAAUACAAUUCUGCUCUCUUCACAGUACACAGGGGCCACAGGUACUUUUACUUACAGAAAUUGAAGCAGAAAGGGAUGAUCAGUAAGCCAGGUCAUUCCCAGGUUCUAUUAGGAUUCUCAAAAGCCAGAGGAGGUUUUUUAGACAACCAAUCUUUUUAUGCUCUGCUCUCCCCCUCUGCACAGGAGUGGGGCUGGGCCAGAUCAGCAUCACCCGCUGCGCCAAAGCCCCCAGGGUAGGAAGGAAAGGAAAGGGUCCUGGCACUGCUCUCCUUUCUGUGGACCCACGCACAGGCAAAGCAACAACCACAUGCUCAUUCUUGGAAGCAGUCUGCCUGCUAAUGCUGCCUUUGAAAUAUUCUAACAUCACAUUACAGCUCCAGCUGAGCAGUAAUGCUACCACUAAGUCCUAGGAAUUCAGAAAAUUAAUAAAUGAUGUCAAACUUUCGAAUUCUCCCUCCUUGGUCUUGAAAACAACAAUCAGUUCCAUUUCCUAGGUUGGGUACAGUUGUUUGCAACAGAUACAUAAAUCUGGAACACAUCCACAUCACUCCAGAUUAACACCACUACAAACGAGCAGAAUCCAGCCCUAUGGUUUCACCCUUUGAAAUGUUUUCUGGCAUGUUUCAUUUUGCUGAACUGCUUUUGAUUGUGGAUCUCCCGUCUCAAAAACGAUUCAUACAAACAAAAAGAAGCAUUUAGCAAAAUUUAAAUCAUAGCAAAAUUUUGAAUUACAGUGGGUUUCAUAUCGCCUUCUUUUUCUUUCACCCCUACUUGCUGAACAAUGCCUAAAUUUAGGACACGGACUGUAGGGUCUGAAGAUGCAAGCAAAGAAUCCUACUGACAUCAAAAACUAUUUUCACACGAGCAAGGUGAACAGGAUUUGGCCCAGAAUCCCUAACGGGGGGAGAAGCUGAAGGCAAAGAAACCGAAAAUGAGAAAUUGAAUUGCCCAAGGCUCAGUAUCACCAUGUCAGCACCAAUGUGGGCACUGCUCCAUUUUAUUUUACACAGAGACAUGAACUUUAGCUACAUUAAAAGCCAGCUCUAUCUACAGCUGUUCUUUGAUGUCUAAGGCCAGAUGGUUUCCAAAAAAGACUUACUCAAGCCAUUGUAAUCCACACCAAAAUGGAAGCCAGUAAUGCUAACAGUAGGAUAAUGUGAGAGAAUGUGCAGUGAGAACUCGGAAAGAAAAAGCAAAGCUGAUCAGAAUCAGUUGCUCUGCUCCAUCUAUUUGAUGAACGGCUGCUGCUGCUGCUUGUCAUCACAAGUUCUGUUAU